UCUCCUUCCAGCUCUCUCAGCUUCUCUUCCUCCCUUUGCUCCUCCAAUUUCCCCAGCACUGCCACCCCAUUCUUAUUCUGUUCCCCCAUCUCUCCCGGUCCUUUCUUCUUCCUCUGAUCCUUCUCCCUUCUUUAGUCGCCCCCUAUUCUUCUCCACAAUCUCCUUCUUGCACUGAUCCCUGCUGUCUCCCUGUUCCCGCAGCUGCCCUUGCUUCACCACAUAAGUGUCUUGGUUUGGGUGCUGUAGGCCCUGACUGGCUCAGCAGCCCCCCAGGGAGGAGAGUCAGGACAACCUGAGGUACAGACACUGGAUGACGUUUGAGUUCCAUAUAGGGAAUGAUGGUGCCAGGAUCCUAACUAGCAUCCUAUAUGCAAAUGUAUGCAGUACAGCAAAUGAGACUUGCAAAGAUGAUGUGGCCACAGGAAUACAGAAGUGGGUUUGUCAAAAGCCACUGUGAAGAUAACAGCAGACCAGUCAGCAAUUCCCAGCAACCAUGAUUGUGGGCUAGGAGUUCUGAGACUCAGGCUGUCCCACCUCUCCCAGAACUGCAGCCUGGCUGUCCCCAGCAAAACACUCCUAUGGAUGAUGGAAAUGGAGAGACACCAAAGGACUUCUCUACAAGCAGUUGGGUCCUUGGCAACAGAGGGAAUGUAUAGACACCCAAAUGCUAUCUGGAUCUGCCCACAUCUGCCUCUGAGAAAGAAGUGGAGUCCACUGUGCCAAGAGCCUACAUUCUCUGUUGUGCUCAUCCUAAAAGAAUGCCCUGCAAGGCAAAUCUGCUUCACAUAGACCUUACAGCAGAAAUCUGAUUUUAGCUAAUUUAACAGGGACAAUACUGUUAGCUGCAUUACUGAGUGGAGGAACCCAACUCAUGAACUUGGGUUUCAAUAUGAAAACUAGACUAUUGAGCACAACCUCACUUAGAAGUGAGGCCUUGGCUUCAAGGAGUUGGCAAUUCCAGAAAUCCAAAGAUCAUCAAGAAAUAACGAGGUCAGGCAGACUAUAGAGGGCCUUGGAAGUGAAAAGGGUGGAAGGAAGUCUGGAUGGGGACACAACUGACCUUUCUAGGGAUCAACUGUUAGGCACAAUCUGCCCCUUCCCAGAUAAUCACAAAUAUACACAUUACAGCUAUGACAUUUUUCCAAAGCUCACACUCACAGAUUCUAAACCUGUUCUAUUAUUCCUCCAGUUUAUACACUGAAGACAGCAUCACAGAAAGACUGUUUUCCAAGGUUUCCCAGAGAGUUGUAGGUCAGGAUUGUUUAGGAUGCCCUACCACCCCACCAUCAGACAUCAGACAUAAACUAGAGGGCAAGCAAUGCAAUUCUUUUAGUAACAAUACUUUCUGUUUUGUUUUUCAAGGCAGGGUUUCUCUGUGGCUUUGGAGGCUGUCCUGGAACUAGCUCUUGUAGACCAGGCUGGUCUCGAACUCACAGAGAUCAUCUUGCCUCUGCCUCCAGAGUGCUGGGAUUAAAGGAAUGCGCCACCACCGCCUGGCUAGUAACAAUACUUUUUAAAGCCUUUAAAAAUUAUAGUUGCAGCUUGAAUGCGCAGCACAAAGAUUCAUGAGUACACUAUGAAAUAUACUGAACAGCACAGCAGACCACCCCAGCCCAUGUCAGUGAAUGCCUCUGUGAGCCAAGGCUGUGCUUAAUGUUGCAGGAAAUGGAAGUAUUCCUACACAUCUAAAGUAAGUAGAAACUUUGACUCACUGUAGGAGAGCUUCAGAAGCAACACUCACUGGCCAUAGAGUUUCUUUAGAAUUUUUUAAAUAAAAAUAUUUAUUUUAUUUUUAAUUAUGUAUGCAUGUGUGGAUAUACUCAUGUAAAUGCUGGUGCCUCUGGAGGCCAGAAGUUUAGGAUCUAGAGUCACAGUUGGGAGAUACCUGACAUGGAUGCUGGGAAAAAAACCAAGUCCUCAGGCCAGGUCUAGUGGCGCACACCUUUAGUCCCAGCACUUGGGUGGCAGAGGCAGGCGGAUCUCUGUGAGUCUGAGACCAGCCUGGUCUACAAGAGCAAGAUCCAGGAUAGUCAAGGCUACACAGAGAAACCCUGUCUCAAAAAAACAAAACAACAAACAAAACCAGGUCCUCUGCAAGAGUAACCCCUCUUAACAUGUAGCCAUCUAUUCAUCUAUUUCAAACUCUAUUUUUUUUUUACUUAUUAUUGUAUUGUGUACUGUGUAUGUGGGUGGAGGAACAUAUAUAGAGGUCAGAGAACAACUUUGUGGAGUCAUUUCUCUACUUUUACUUUUAUAUAGGUUCCAAGGCUCAAACUCAAGUUGUCAGGCAUGUAUGGCAGGUCCCUUUUGUAUCAAGCUUUUUUUGUCGGCCACCAGCUCACAAAUAACAACAUGGAGACUUAUUAACUAUUAAAGCUUGGACUUUGUUAGGCUUUUCCUAACUAGCACUUAUAAGUUAAAUGAACCCAUUUAUAUUAAUUUUACAUUCUGCCACAUGGCUCGUGGCUGUUACCUCUCUUUCUUCACACCCUGCUUGUUCUCCUGACAUCUCCACCUUUCUCCUUCUCCAGAAUCCUCUCUGUCUCUGGAAGUUAUGCCUAAUCUCUUCCUGCCUAGGUAUCACCCAUUUAGCUCUUUAUUAAGGCAAUCAGAAGGCGCCUUGGCAAAGACAUGUCUUUACAGUGUAAAAAAAUAUUCUGCAACACCCCUUUUUCAUUAAACAAUAUCCCAGCCCUGCA
Non-coding RNA from Cricetulus griseus (Chinese hamster), 2699 nucleotides. Lineage: Eukaryota; Metazoa; Chordata; Mammalia; Rodentia; Cricetidae. The record is from RefSeq and is a predicted model, not a curated record.